GCUGUGUGUGGAUGGUGUUCAGCACCGGGGACAGGUGUGUUUACCUGCGUGCGGACGGUGUUCAGCACCAGGGACAUGUGUGUUUACCU
This is a non-coding RNA of Branchiostoma floridae (Florida lancelet), 89 nucleotides long. NCBI's taxonomy places the organism in Eukaryota, Metazoa, Chordata, Leptocardii, Amphioxiformes, Branchiostomatidae. The record is from Rfam.